Molecule: ribosomal RNA, 246 nt
Filed under: uncultured Helicobacter sp.
Lineage: Bacteria; Pseudomonadati; Campylobacterota; Epsilonproteobacteria; Campylobacterales; Helicobacteraceae
Description: partial 16S ribosomal RNA
Rfam family: Bacterial small subunit ribosomal RNA
Source: RNAcentral
CUAGCUUGCUAGGUGGAUUAGUGGCGCACGGGUGAGUAACGCAUAGAUGACAUGCCCUUUAGUUUGGGAUAGCCACUAGAAAUGGUGAUUAAUACCAAAUACCACCCUACGGGGGAAAGAUUUAUCGCUAAAGGAUUGGUCUAUGUCCUAUCAGCUUGUUGGCGCGGUAAGGGCCCACCAAGGCAAUGACGGGUAUCCGGCCUGAGAGGGUGAACGGACACACUGGAACUGAGACACGGUCCAGAC